AUUGAACGCUGGCGGCAGGCCUAACACAUGCAAGUCGAGCGGAUGAAGGGAGCUUGCUCCUGGAUUCAGCAGCGGACGGGUGAGUAAUGCCUAGGAAUCUGCCUGGUAGUGGGGGAUAACGUCCGGAAACGGGCGCUAAUACCGCAUACGGCCUGAGGGAGAAAGUGGGGGAUCUUCGGACCGCACGCUAUCUGAUGAGCCUAGGUCGGAUUAGCUAGUUGGGGGGGUAAAGGCCUACCAAGGCGACGAUCCAUAACUGGUCUGACAGGAUGAACCGGGAAACUGGCACUGGAACACGGUCCAGAAUCCUACGGGAGGGACAAGUGGGGAAUAUUGGAGAAUGGGAGAAAUGGUGAUCCAGGCAUGCUGCGGGAGUGACGAAGGUCUUCGGAUUGUGAAACUCUGUAAGUUGGGAGGAUGUAAAGUAAUUUAAUACCGGGCUGAUUUGACGUUACCAACAGAAUAAGCUCCGGCUAACUACGUG
This 484-nucleotide ribosomal RNA is filed under the name uncultured bacterium. RNAcentral's name for it is "partial 16S ribosomal RNA". It matches the Rfam family "Bacterial small subunit ribosomal RNA", at positions 30 to 507 of the family's 1533-position model. The record is from RNAcentral.